UACGUAUGGAGCAAGCGUUAUCCGGAUUUACUGGGUGUAAAGGGAGUGUAGGUGGCCAGGCAAGUCAGAAGUGAAAGCCCGGGGCUCAACCCCGGGACUGCUUUUGAAACUGCAGGGCUAGAGUGCAGGAGGGGCAAGUGGAAUUCCUAGUGUAGCGGUGAAAUGCGUAGAUAUUAGGAGGAACACCAGUGGCGAAGGCGGCUUGCUGGAUUGUAACUGACACUGAGGCUCGAAAGCGUGGGGAGCAAACAGG
Molecule: ribosomal RNA, 253 nt
Filed under: [Lactobacillus] rogosae
Lineage: Bacteria; Bacillati; Bacillota; Clostridia; Lachnospirales; Lachnospiraceae
Description: Lactobacillus rogosae partial 16S ribosomal RNA
Rfam family: Bacterial small subunit ribosomal RNA
Source: RNAcentral